Molecule: ribosomal RNA, 492 nt
Filed under: uncultured bacterium
Lineage: Bacteria
Description: partial 16S ribosomal RNA
Rfam family: Bacterial small subunit ribosomal RNA
Source: RNAcentral
AGUGAACGCUGGCGGUAGGCCUAACACAUGCAAGUCGAACGGCAGCACAGUAAGAGCUUGCUCUUACGGGUGGCGAGUGGCGGACGGGUGAGGAAUACAUCGGAAUCUACUUUUUCGUGGGGGAUAACGUAGGGAAACUUACGCUAAUACCGCAUACGACCUACGGUUGAAAGCAGGGGAUCUUCGGACCUUGCGCGAUUGAAUGAGCGGAUGUCGGAUUAGCUAGUUGGCGGGGUAAAGGCCCACCAAGGCGACGAUCCGUAGCUGGUCUGAGAGGAUGAUCAGCCACACUGGAACUUAGACACGGUCCAGACUCCUACGGGAGGCAGCAGUGGGGAAUAUUAGACAAUAGGCGCAAGCCUUAUCCAGCCAUACCGCGUGUGUGAAGAAAGCCUUCGGUUUGUAAAGCCCUUUUGUUGGGAAAGAAAAGCAGCAGGUUAAUACCCCGCUGUUCUGACGGUACCCAAAAAAUAAGCACCGGCUAACUUCGUG